Molecule: ribosomal RNA, 410 nt
Filed under: uncultured Actinomycetes bacterium
Lineage: Bacteria; Bacillati; Actinomycetota; Actinomycetes
Description: bacterial SSU rRNA
Rfam family: Bacterial small subunit ribosomal RNA
Source: RNAcentral
UGGGGAAUAUUGCGCUAAUGCGCGAAAGCGUGACGCAGCGACACCGCGUGGGGGAUGAAGGCCCUCGGGUUGUAAACCCCUUUCGGCAGGGACGAAGCGAAAGUGACGGUACCUGCAGAAGAAGUCCCGGCUAACUACGUGCCAGCAGCCGCGGUAACACGUAGGGGACGAGCGUUGUCCGGAUUUAUUGGGCGUAAAGCGCGCGUAGGCGGUCGUGCAAGUCGGUUGUGAAAACCCGGGGCUCAACCCCGGGCCUGCGUCCGAUACUGCUCGACUCGAGGUAGGUAGGGGAGAUCGGAAUUCCUGGUGUAGCGGUGAAAUGCGCAGAUAUCAGGAGGAACACCGGUGGCGAAGGCGGAUCUCUGGGCCUUACCUGACGCUGAGGCGCGAAAGCUAGGGGAGCGAACAGG